RNAcentral lists this ribosomal RNA (399 nucleotides) under uncultured Glomeromycotina. RNAcentral describes it as "SSU rRNA". It matches the Rfam family "Eukaryotic small subunit ribosomal RNA", at positions 569 to 971 of the family's 1831-position model. Lineage: Eukaryota; Fungi; Glomeromycota. The record is from RNAcentral.
AGCAGCCGCGGUAAUUCCAGCUCCAAUAGCGUAUAUUAAAGUUGUUGCAGUUAAAAAGCUCGUAGUUGAACUUCGGGGUUCACCCAUUGGUCAGGCUUAAUUGUCUGCACUGGUGAGAUGAGUCUCUACCUUCUGAGGAACUUUCAUGUCAUUAAUUUGGUGUGAUGGGAAAUCAGGACUGUUACUUUGAAAAAUUAGAGUGUUUAAAGCAGGCUAACGUCUGAAUACAUUAGCAUGGAAUAAUGAAAUAGGACGGACUGAUUCUAUUUCGUUGGUUUCUAGGAUCACCGUAAUGAUUAAUAGGGAUAGUUGGGGGCAUUAGUAUUCAAUUGUCAGAGGUGAAAUUCUUGGAUUUAUUGAAGACUAACUACUGCGAAAGCAUUUGCCAAGGAUGUUUUU